GUGCUCGCUUCAGCAGCACAUAUAUUAAAAUUGAAACAAUACACAGAAGAUUAGCAUGGCCCCCGUGCAAGGAUGACACAGAAACUCGUGAAGUGUUCCAUAUUUUU
Molecule: small nuclear RNA, 107 nt
Filed under: Mus spretus (western wild mouse)
Lineage: Eukaryota; Metazoa; Chordata; Mammalia; Rodentia; Muridae
Source: RNAcentral